This 73-nucleotide transfer RNA is filed under the name Microcaldota archaeon. RNAcentral's name for it is "tRNA-Thr". It matches the Rfam family "tRNA". Rfam says of the family: Transfer RNA (tRNA) molecules are approximately 80 nucleotides in length. Their secondary structure includes four short double-helical elements and three loops (D, anti-codon, and T loops). Lineage: Archaea; Nanobdellati; Microcaldota. The record is from RNAcentral.
GCCUCGGUAGCUCAGUUGGUAGAGCGCUUGCCUUGUAAGCAAGAAGUCGGGGGUUCAAAUCCCCCUCGAGGCU